GAUAAACGCUGGCGGCGUGCCUAACACAUGCAAGUCGAACGAUCCCGCAAGGGAGAGUGGCGGAAGGGUGAGUAACACGUGGGAAUCUACCUCCUCGCAGGGAACAACCUCUCGAAAGAGAGGCUAAUACCCAAAAGGGUCAGAAAUGAUCAGAGUCGAAAGGCGUGAGGAGAGGAGCCCGCGGCCCAUCAGCUAGUUGGUGAGGUAAUGGCUUACCAAGGCUACGACGGGUAGGGGAUCUGAGAGGAUGUCCCCCACACUGGAACUGAAACACGGUCCAGACGCCUACGGGUGGCAGCAGUGAGGAAUAUUGGACAAUGGGCGAAAGCCCGAUCCAGCAACGCCGCGUGGAGGAUGAAGGCCUUGGGUCGUAAACUUCUUUAGAGGGAGACGAGAAAGGACGGUAUCCCUAGAAUAAGCGACGGCAAACUACGUGCCAGCAGCCGCGGUAAU
RNAcentral lists this ribosomal RNA (453 nucleotides) under uncultured bacterium. RNAcentral describes it as "bacterial SSU rRNA". It matches the Rfam family "Bacterial small subunit ribosomal RNA", at positions 28 to 524 of the family's 1533-position model. The record is from RNAcentral.